ACCCUCCUCUCUUCCCUCCUCUCUCGUUUCCCUCAUGCCAGCCAGGAAGGUUUUCAAAGGGUCAGAGGCAGCAUCAAAACCCCUGCUGGUCAGUUCUUUGGUCACAAGGUGAGCCAGUAGGGUCAAAUGUACAGCGAGGUCAGCAAAUCCACUAUCAGCAUAUUCUAUUUAUCAACUUUACUACAAGCAAUCAUGCAAGAGCUGUCAUCUGGCAAGAGAAAAACAGCAAUGUUAUACCCACAUGAAACAGAUGAUAACCUAAGAGAUUCUUCUGCUGUAUUCAGGCGCAGCUGGAUCUCAUCUCACCCAAUACACCCCACCUCCAUACACAUACACACAGCGUUACCACCAUGAGUCUGUGCCAAACCAACCAUCUCGGGAAAAAUUAAACCAUGAGGAUCAUUUCCUAAUCCUUGCUGAAAAAUACUUCCAAUUCUUUUUCCCACAGGAAAAUUAACUAUUCUAACGGGAUUUUCGAGGGGGGUGGUGCUCAUUAUCAUGCUGCUUCCCAUUCUCCAUAAGGAGGAAAAUGGCAAUAACUUCCAACAAGAGACAACUGCUCUUCUCCUGUAACCCCGGUUAGAAACUAAAAAAUAAACAAAAAUACCAGUCUUUUGAGGCAUU
This is a long non-coding RNA of Hyaena hyaena (striped hyena), 624 nucleotides long. RefSeq lists it as uncharacterized. The transcript has 3 exons. The record is from RefSeq and is a predicted model, not a curated record. Lineage: Eukaryota; Metazoa; Chordata; Mammalia; Carnivora; Hyaenidae.